UACAGAGGUCUCAAGCGUUGUUCGGAUUCAUUGGGCGUAAAGGGCGCGCAGGUGGUUCUGUAUGUCUGCCGUGAAAGCAUACAGCUCAACUGUAUUGUGUCGGUAGAAACUGCAGGACUUGAGGCUGGGAGGGGCUGGUGGAAUUCCCUGUGUAGCGGUGAAAUGCGUAGAGAUGGGGGAGAACACUCGUGGCGAAGGCGGCCAGCUAGACCAGUUCUGACACUGAGGCGCGACAGCGUGGGGAGCAAACAGG
This 253-nucleotide ribosomal RNA is filed under the name uncultured bacterium. RNAcentral's name for it is "partial 16S ribosomal RNA". It matches the Rfam family "Bacterial small subunit ribosomal RNA", at positions 524 to 776 of the family's 1533-position model. The record is from RNAcentral.